GAGUUUGAUCGUGGCUCAGAUUGAACGCUGGCGGCAGGCCUAACACAUGCAAGUCGAGCGGAUGACGGGAGCUUGCUCCUUGAUUCAGCGGCGGACGGGUGAGUAAUGCCUAGGAAUCUGCCUGGUAGUGGGGGACAACGUUUCGAAAGGAACGCUAAUACCGCAUACGUCCUACGGGAGAAAGCAGGGGACCUUCGGGCCUUGCGCUAUCAGAUGAGCCUAGGUCGGAUUAGCUAGUUGGUGGGGUAAUGGCUCACCAAGGCGACGAUCCGUAACUGGUCUGAGAGGAUGAUCAGUCACACUGGAACUGAGACACGGUCCAGACUCCUACGGGAGGCAGCAGUGGGGAAUAUUGGACAAUGGGCGAAAGCCUGAUCCAGCCAUGCCGCGUGUGUGAAGAAGGUCUUCGGAUUGUAAAGCACUUUAAGUUGGGAGGAAGGGCAGUAAGUUAAUACCUUGCUGUUUGACGUUACCGACAGAAUAAGCACCGGCUAACUCUGUGCCAGCCGCCG
RNAcentral lists this ribosomal RNA (512 nucleotides) under bacterium enrichment culture clone ALO1_GLFRUDD03FXJL7. RNAcentral's name for it is "bacterial SSU rRNA". It matches the Rfam family "Bacterial small subunit ribosomal RNA", at positions 9 to 517 of the family's 1533-position model. The record is from RNAcentral.